UCCCUGGCAGUCAAGUGGUUAAGACUCUGCCCUUUCACUACCAAGUGCCCAGGUUCAAUCCCUGGUCAGGGAA
RNAcentral lists this transfer RNA (73 nucleotides) under Bos taurus (domestic cattle). It matches the Rfam family "tRNA". Rfam says of the family: Transfer RNA (tRNA) molecules are approximately 80 nucleotides in length. Their secondary structure includes four short double-helical elements and three loops (D, anti-codon, and T loops). Further hydrogen bonds mediate the characteristic L-shaped molecular structure. tRNAs have two regions of fundamental functional importance: the anti-codon, which is responsible for specific mRNA codon recognition, and the 3' end, to which the tRNAs corresponding amino acid is attached (by aminoacyl-tRNA synthetases). tRNAs cope with the degeneracy of the genetic code in two manners: having more than one tRNA (with a specific anti-codon) for a particular amino acid; and 'wobble' base-pairing, i.e. permitting non-standard base-pairing at the 3rd anti-codon position. RNAcentral also lists the same sequence under 4 other names. The record is from Rfam by way of RNAcentral. Lineage: Eukaryota; Metazoa; Chordata; Mammalia; Artiodactyla; Bovidae.